Molecule: ribosomal RNA, 696 nt
Filed under: Francisella tularensis subsp. holarctica
Lineage: Bacteria; Pseudomonadati; Pseudomonadota; Gammaproteobacteria; Thiotrichales; Francisellaceae
Description: bacterial SSU rRNA
Rfam family: Bacterial small subunit ribosomal RNA
Source: RNAcentral
AAAGGCUCUAGUGGCGCAGCUAACGCGAUAAGUACUCCGCCUGGGGACUACGGCCGCAAGGCUAAAACUCAAAGGAAUUGACGGGGACCCGCACAAGCGGUGGAGCAUGUGGUUUAAUUCGAUGCAACGCGAAGAACCUUACCUGGUCUUGACAUCCUGCGAACUUUCUAGAGAUAGAUUGGUGCCUUCGGGAACGCAGUGACAGGUGCUGCACGGCUGUCGUCAGCUCGUGUUGUGAAAUGUUGGGUUAAGUCCCGCAACGAGCGCAACCCCUAUUGAUAGUUACCAUCAUUAAGUUGGGUACUCUAUUAAGACUGCCGCUGACAAGGCGGAGGAAGGUGGGGACGACGUCAAGUCAUCAUGGCCCUUACGACCAGGGCUACACACGUGCUACAAUGGGUAUUACAGAGGGCUGCGAAGGUGCGAGCUGGAGCGAAACUCAAAAAGGUACUCUUAGUCCGGAUUGCAGUCUGCAACUCGACUGCAUGAAGUCGGAAUCGCUAGUAAUCGCAGGUCAGAAUACUGCGGUGAAUACGUUCCCGGGUCUUGUACACACCGCCCGUCACACCAUGGGAGUGGGUUGCUCCAGAAGUAGAUAGCUUAACGAAUGGGCGUUUACCACGGAGUGAUUCAUGACUGGGGUGAAGUCGUAACAAGGUAGCCGUAGGGGAACCUGCGGCUGGAUCACCUCCUUAA